AGGCGAUGAUGAUGAAAUUUUUCGUGCACCACUCUGAAUAUUGAGUGCUGAUAAACACCCUUUGCAUCUGAGCCA
RNAcentral lists this small nucleolar RNA (75 nucleotides) under Amborella trichopoda. RNAcentral's name for it is "Small nucleolar RNA Z221/R21b". It matches the Rfam family "Small nucleolar RNA Z221/R21b". Rfam says of the family: Z221 is a member of the C/D class of snoRNA which contain the C (UGAUGA) and D (CUGA) box motifs. Most of the members of the box C/D family function in directing site-specific 2'-O-methylation of substrate RNAs. The record is from Rfam by way of RNAcentral. Lineage: Eukaryota; Viridiplantae; Streptophyta; Magnoliopsida; Amborellales; Amborellaceae.